RNAcentral lists this ribosomal RNA (212 nucleotides) under uncultured bacterium. RNAcentral's name for it is "partial 16S ribosomal RNA". It matches the Rfam family "Bacterial small subunit ribosomal RNA", at positions 335 to 544 of the family's 1533-position model. The record is from RNAcentral.
ACUCCUACGGGAGGCAGCAGUGAGGAAUAUUGGUCAAUGGGCGCAAGCCUGAACCAGCCAUGCCGCGUGCAGGAUGACGGUCCUAUGGAUUGUAAACUGCUUUUGUACGGGAAGAAACACUCCUUCGUGAAGGAGCUUGACGGUACCGUAAGAAUAAGGAUCGGCUAACUCCGUGCCAGCAGCCGCGGUAAUACGGAGGAUCCAAGCGUUAU